This 994-nucleotide long non-coding RNA is filed under the name Oryza sativa Indica Group (long-grained rice). Its description in RNAcentral is "lncRNA OsMH63_01G042780". Lineage: Eukaryota; Viridiplantae; Streptophyta; Magnoliopsida; Poales; Poaceae. The record is from RNAcentral.
CCACCGCGCUGUGGCGGCGCCCCUCGCCAGCGAGAUCGCGGGAGAGGCAGGCGCAGCACUGGUGCUCCAAUGGCAAGGAUCAUCAGGCACCACUUUUGCCAUGAUUGAUUUAUCCUUGUUGGAACUAAUUGCUUGUAAAUUCAGAUUAACAUGGAUGGGAUAUCAGACCAAGAAGUUGCAAAUGCCUAUUCUUUUGUAUUCUCCUUUGAUGAGUGGCAACCCGCUGCGCCGCCGUGCGUGCGCGCAGGAGUCGCCGAGGAGUUGGAGGAUCUCGAUCGACGAAGUCGCCGUCGUCGCCGACAGCGACGGCGAUGCAGAUGUCAACGCUGAGCAGCUCCUCCAUUUGCUCGAGCACGUCGGCGCCAUAGGGGAGAACACGUACGGUUCGAACGCCUCGGCCACCACCACUGGCCGCUCCGUCCACUCCGUCAUCGCGAGCUCCGGCACUGGCGGGGCGGACUGGAAGAUCAGUAGCCGAAGCCAUGGGGGCCGCCUCGCCAUCUCCUCCCUGCAUCGUGAUGGGGAGGCCGCCAGAUCUGAGCUGAAGCAUGCCGAUGACGCCCCUCCUCUCAACACCGACGGCGACCAUUGGCACUACAGGAGACGAAGCAGGGAAGAUGAAGCUGCCCCCUUCCCGCCUUCGUCCAUUCGGGGCUCGCCCAUCCGCCGCAAUAUCUCAAUACAAAUUUCAUCACCAGGGACUAGGGAUGGAUUUGGAACCCACGGUGGACGCCGCCAACUCCGACCGUGCCAGAAGUACAAGUCCGGCCGCAUCGCCAGCCGCCGUCGGCGAGGGGCAGAGAGGGAGCAGCUUCCCCUGGAAAACACCUCGAAGGACACGCACAUGUUGGCCACGCCGGCGGCGGCGCCGGAUGGGACGAGGCCCCCGACUGACAUGACGCAGAACUCAAAGUCAUCGGCCGUGUCCUUCGUAACAAAGCCACUAGCGGCGGCGUCAGCGCGGGGCUCCGGCACAACACCGGCCAUGACUUGA